Osmia bicornis bicornis is the source of this 885-nucleotide long non-coding RNA. RefSeq lists it as uncharacterized. Lineage: Eukaryota; Metazoa; Arthropoda; Insecta; Hymenoptera; Megachilidae. The transcript is spliced from 4 exons. The record is from RefSeq and is a predicted model, not a curated record.
GUGAGGUGUAACCUAAUCUCAAUAAUUACCCAAAACUGUUAUGUGGAAAUUAUUAAACUUGUUUGCUACGUUAAUCAUGUAAGUAUACGUCUAAUAUUUGUAAUACGUAAAAUACUAUACAAGUAAACUGGUUUAAUGCGACCAUUAUCAAAUUAUAUACAAUACAUGCAAAUUCAUGCCAUUACUUUCAUUUUGCAUGGAUUAGCACAUGAUAGGCAUUUGAAAACAAGUAACUGUUAGAUGCAUUGUAUAAUUAAUUCUACUAACCCUGAAAUGAAAUAUUAGGACAAAUAACAAAGACGUAUUCUGAAAAUACAUGCAAUUACUUUCUCGCAUGAUAUAUCUGGAAGUAUGUUUAAGUAUCUAUUCUGACAUUGAUGAGGAAAUUACAACCAAAAAAUUAUGGGGUAGGAAAGUUGAAUAGAUCCAUCACAGAAAUUGAACAGUGUGGAAUAAAAUAUUAGGACAAAUAACAAAGACGUAUUCUGAAAAUAGAUGGAAUUACUAUCUCGCAGAAUAUAUCUGGAAAUAUGUUUAAGCAUUUAUUCAGACAUUGAUGAGGAAAUUACAACCAAAAAAUUAUGGAGCAGAAAAGUUGAAUAGUUACAUUACAGAAAUUGAACAGCGUGGAAUGAAAUAUUAGGACAAAUAACAAAGACAUAUUCUGAAAAUAGAUGCAAUUACUUUCUCGCAUGAUAUAUGUGGAAAUAUGUUUAAGCAUUUAUUCAGACAUUGAUGAGGAAAUUACAACCAAAAAAUUAUGGAGUAGAAAAGUUGAAUAGAUCCAUUAAAGAAAUUAAGGACAAUGUAUGCAUUUGUUGCAGUAUGUUAAUAAAAACGUACUACGGAUAGUUCAAAUUCUUUAUGCAUAUUUAAAAAAUGAAA